This 1052-nucleotide ribosomal RNA is filed under the name Saccharomyces cerevisiae (brewer's yeast). RNAcentral's name for it is "SSU rRNA". It matches the Rfam family "Eukaryotic small subunit ribosomal RNA", at positions 60 to 1121 of the family's 1831-position model. Lineage: Eukaryota; Fungi; Ascomycota; Saccharomycetes; Saccharomycetales; Saccharomycetaceae. The record is from RNAcentral.
CUAGUAUAAGCAAUUUAUACAGUGAAACUGCGAAUGGCUCAUUAAAUCAGUUAUCGUUUAUUUGAUAGUUCCUUUACUACAUGGUAUAACUGUGGUAAUUCUAGAGCUAAUACAUGCUUAAAAUCUCGACCCUUUGGAAGAGAUGUAUUUAUUAGAUAAAAAAUCAAUGUCUUCGGACUCUUUGAUGAUUCAUAAUAACUUUUCGAAUCGCAUGGCCUUGUGCUGGCGAUGGUUCAUUCAAAUUUCUGCCCUAUCAACUUUCGAUGGUAGGAUAGUGGCCUACCAUGGUUUCAACGGGUAACGGGGAAUAAGGGUUCGAUUCCGGAGAGGGAGCCUGAGAAACGGCUACCACAUCCAAGGAAGGCAGCAGGCGCGCAAAUUACCCAAUCCUAAUUCAGGGAGGUAGUGACAAUAAAUAACGAUACAGGGCCCAUUCGGGUCUUGUAAUUGGAAUGAGUACAAUGUAAAUACCUUAACGAGGAACAAUUGGAGGGCAAGUCUGGUGCCAGCAGCCGCGGUAAUUCCAGCUCCAAUAGCGUAUAUUAAAGUUGUUGCAGUUAAAAAGCUCGUAGUUGAACUUUGGGCCCGGUUGGCCGGUCCGAUUUUUUCGUGUACUGGAUUUCCAACGGGGCCUUUCCUUCUGGCUAACCUUGAGUCCUUGUGGCUCUUGGCGAACCAGGACUUUUACUUUGAAAAAAUUAGAGUGUUCAAAGCAGGCGUAUUGCUCGAAUAUAUUAGCAUGGAAUAAUAGAAUAGGACGUUUGGUUCUAUUUUGUUGGUUUCUAGGACCAUCGUAAUGAUUAAUAGGGACGGUCGGGGGCAUCAGUAUUCAAUUGUCAGAGGUGAAAUUCUUGGAUUUAUUGAAGACUAACUACUGCGAAAGCAUUUGCCAAGGACGUUUUCAUUAAUCAAGAACGAAAGUUAGGGGAUCGAAGAUGAUCAGAUACCGUCGUAGUCUUAACCAUAAACUAUGCCGACUAGGGAUCGGGUGGUGUUUUUUUAAUGACCCACUCGGCACCUUACGAGAAAUCAAAGUCUUUGGGUCUGGGGGA